UACAGAGGUCUCAAGCGUUGUUCGGAUUCAUUGGGCGUAAAGGGUGCGUAGGUGGCGGGGUAAGUUGGAUGUGAAAUCUCGGAGCUCAACUCCGAAACUGCAUUCAAUACUGCCUUGCUGGAGUACUGGAGAGGAGAUUGGAAUUUACGGUGUAGCAGUGAAAUGCGUAGAUAUCGUAAGGAAGACCAGUGGCGAAGGCGGAUCUCUGGACAGUUACUGACACUGAGGCACGAAGGCCAGGGGAGCAAACGGG
This 253-nucleotide ribosomal RNA is filed under the name uncultured bacterium. RNAcentral's name for it is "partial 16S ribosomal RNA". It matches the Rfam family "Bacterial small subunit ribosomal RNA", at positions 524 to 776 of the family's 1533-position model. RNAcentral also lists the same sequence under 1 other name. The record is from RNAcentral.